RNAcentral lists this ribosomal RNA (253 nucleotides) under uncultured bacterium. Its description in RNAcentral is "partial 16S ribosomal RNA". It matches the Rfam family "Bacterial small subunit ribosomal RNA", at positions 524 to 776 of the family's 1533-position model. The record is from RNAcentral.
UACGUGAGCCCCGAGCGUUAUCCGGAUUUAUUGGGUGUAAAGCGUCUGUAGGUGGCUUUGCAAGUUUUUCGUCAAAUCCGGGGGCUUAACCCCCGGGCUGCGGAAAAAACUGCAUUGCUAGAGGACGGGAGAGGUAGAUGGAAUUGCCGGUGUAGUGGUAAAAUGCGUUAAUAUCGGCAAGAACACCAAAUGCGAAAGCUUUCUACUGGAACGUUCCUGACACUCAGAGACGAAAGCGUGGGUAGCGAAUGGG